Molecule: ribosomal RNA, 497 nt
Filed under: uncultured bacterium
Lineage: Bacteria
Description: partial 16S ribosomal RNA
Rfam family: Bacterial small subunit ribosomal RNA
Source: RNAcentral
GAUGAACGCUGGCGGCGUGCCUAAUACAUGCAAGUCGAGCGAACAGACGAGGAGCUUGCUCCUCUGACGUUAGCGGCGGACGGGUGAGUAACACGUGGAUAACCUACCUAUAAGACUGGGAUAACUUCGGGAAACCGGAGCUAAUACCGUAUAAUAUAUUGAACCGCAUGGUUCAAUAGUGAAAGACGGCUUUGCUGUCUCUUAUAGAUGGAUCCGCGCCGUAUUAGCUAGUUGGUAAGGUAACGGCUUACCAAGGCAACGAUGCGUAGCCGACCUGAGAGGGGGAUCGGCCACACUGGAACUGAGACACGGUCCAGACUCCUACGGGAGGCAGCAGUAGGGAACCUUCCGCAAUGGGCGAAAGCCUGACGGAGCAACGCCGCGUGAGUGAUGAAGGUCUUCGGAUCGUAAAACUCUGUUAUUAGGGAAGAACAAAUGUGUAAGUAACUAUGCACGUCUUGACGGUACCUAAUCAGAAAGCCCCGGCUAACUACGUG